Non-coding RNA from Podarcis lilfordi (Lilford's wall lizard), 80 nucleotides. The record is from the annotation of a GenBank genome assembly. Lineage: Eukaryota; Metazoa; Chordata; Lepidosauria; Squamata; Lacertidae.
GCCAGAAUAGCUCGUUUGGUUAGAGCGUGGUGCUGAUAAUGCCAAGGUUGCAGGUUCAAUCCCUGUAAGGAAUAACGGCA